This is a transfer RNA of Aureobasidium subglaciale EXF-2481, 96 nucleotides long. It matches the Rfam family "tRNA". From Rfam's summary of the family: Transfer RNA (tRNA) molecules are approximately 80 nucleotides in length. Their secondary structure includes four short double-helical elements and three loops (D, anti-codon, and T loops). Lineage: Eukaryota; Fungi; Ascomycota; Dothideomycetes; Dothideales; Saccotheciaceae. The record is from Rfam.
UCCGAUAUGGUCUAGUGGCUAGGAUUUCUCGCUCUCAAACAGUUCGGAAGAACGAUCAGGUCCGAGGAGGCCGGGGUUCAAUUCCCCGUGUCGGAA